AACCAGCACCUCAAGUGGUCAGGAUGAUUAUUGGGCCUAAAGCAUCCGUAGCCGGUUCUGUUAGUUUUCGGUUAAACCCAUGUGCUCAACACAUGGGCUGCCGAAAAUACUGCAGGGCUAGGGAGUGGGAGAGGUAGACGGUACUCGAUAGGAAGGGGUAAAAUCCUUUGAUCUAUUGAUGACCACCUGUGGCGAAGGCAGCCAACAAUGCCAUUACUGACGCUGAGGGACGAAAGCGUGGGGAGCGAACAGG
This 253-nucleotide ribosomal RNA is filed under the name uncultured archaeon. RNAcentral's name for it is "partial 16S ribosomal RNA". It matches the Rfam family "Archaeal small subunit ribosomal RNA", at positions 474 to 727 of the family's 1478-position model. The record is from RNAcentral.